CGGGCUGGCUCUGCCGGACAUACGAAAAUACUAUCACGCAACCAUACUCCAACGAAUCUGGGAAUGGCACGCGGCGACAGCAACCAAACUAUGGGUGGCCCUAGACAGGGAGAGCACGAACAAGGCCCUAUACACGUACAUAUGGCAAGGACUGACAGACGCUAAACAACACCUGAGUAAUGAAUCCCCCAUUAUACAGACGCUGAAAACUUGGACAAAUCUAAGGAAGAAACAACACUUAUCACCCCAACCAAGCCCUCUAAUUCCACUGACGCACAACAAAGCGAUAGGAGGCGGACUGCAGACAAAUGC
Non-coding RNA from Pelobates cultripes (western spadefoot toad), 312 nucleotides. Lineage: Eukaryota; Metazoa; Chordata; Amphibia; Anura; Pelobatidae. The record is from the annotation of a GenBank genome assembly.